Molecule: non-coding RNA, 921 nt
Organism: Salmo salar (Atlantic salmon)
Lineage: Eukaryota; Metazoa; Chordata; Actinopteri; Salmoniformes; Salmonidae
Source: RefSeq, a predicted model, not a curated record
GCGGUUUUCUGACAAGAAUGAUAUGAUAUGUGGCUAGAAUAGCCAGAAGGGGGUUGAUCAAGUACCCUCAGUCCAAGACUAGGCGGUUGCCGACCUGAACCUCGUGACUACCACAGGUUCUAGUGGCCGUUGGAAGAGUGGCACGAAGGCCAAGAAAGUAUGGGACAGGAUACCACUUUGGGCCCCAUGAUGGUCUUCCCAACCAAACAGAAGACUGCACCUUUAACUCCACGGGGAGGGAUGGUAUCCAUAUCCCUGGCGUCCCCUCCAGUACAUGGGACAGGAGGCCCAGUCCACUGGAAUGGACUUGAAGAGAGCUGGAGCCCAUCCCAGACCCUGAGUUAAUUCCUGAGCCCAUUGGAGACUUUGGAGCAGAGUUUACCACAGAGAAAGAGUGUCUGAUUGAAGAUCUAGGUGACGAGAAGGAUGAAGCCAAGCCUUUGGUUGACAAGGAUCAUUCUAAAAUUGGAACUCAUGGUAAGGGCAUGUAUUGUAUCAUGGUGGGUAUGUGAAUUUCAAGAAUGACCCCUAAAAAGCAACUAAUCCCUUUGAUAACUGCAUAUGUGGCAUCGAUAUGAGUCAAACAUUUAUUCUAGUGUCAAAAUUGCCUACAAAGUUUAAAUAGGAUAAUUUUGGUCAUAGUUAGUCUAAAACGGAGUUUGGAACCUCAGUGCUUCACAACGAGUAAAUGAAGUUUGGAUAACCAUUGUCAACAAAUCAUGCCCCCUUUUUUUAAACUCCAUGUGCAAAUCUAGGUAGCUAGCUAGAUAACUAGCUAGCUACCUCAUUACAACUUAGUUUGGUCAAAUCUCAUACAAGUUUGCAUUGACUAGAUACUUCUGGUUAUGUAACGUUAUCAUUUGACAGCGCUAGCGAGGCAGGCUAGCUAGCUAACGUUAGCCUACAAAUCUGAUUUGCAAG